Molecule: non-coding RNA, 943 nt
Organism: Arachis ipaensis
Lineage: Eukaryota; Viridiplantae; Streptophyta; Magnoliopsida; Fabales; Fabaceae
Source: RefSeq, a predicted model, not a curated record
UUUGUUCCUGCUUUCUCUUUUUUUCUUCUAUCUGUAAAAUGUUUAAAAUAUUAGAGAACGGUGAGUGGAAGAUAACUCACAUUUAUUCCUUCAAUAAUAUUAAGUGAUGCAAUCAAAUUCUCUCUGAUAUCUUCCAUUCCCAGCUCUAUAUAAACCCUUCCAUCCCCUUAUACUUCUUCACCCAAAAUCUCAAGUUCCAAAACAAAGGAACAUGCAGUUUUAGGGCUAAUUGGUUUAUUUUUCUCCCCCAUAAUUCACUUCAACCAUUUUUGUUUUUCUGGUUCUUCAGGUUCAACAUGAAAGGUUACAUCCAAAAUAUUCAAUAAAUUUCGAUCCACCAUACAUAUAAGAUGCAUAUCGAGUUCAAAAAGGGUAAGGGAGGUGACAGAAGAGAGUGAGCACACAUGGUAUUUUCUUGUAUAGUAUUUAAUACUCGAAACUAUGUGUGCUCACUCUCUACCUGUCACCCCAAACUAUCUCUCUUGUUAUAUAUAUUUUUUUAAUUUUACUAAUAAUGUUUAUUUCUUUUGUUAUUUUAGCCUUUAUAAAUGCUAAAGAAGAGUAAUAACCCUAGCUUGCAGGUUGGGAUCAUCCUAUAACAUUUUCAUCACAGUAGGUUGUGAAAAACAAGAUCGAUCUUAUAGCUAACUUAAGGGGAUUGGGGGAGUUGCUAAAUUGUUGUAGGGUUUAUGUUUAUUGGUUGUGUAUCAUAUAUAGAUGUAUGUUUGAUAUGAAGAAUUUUUGAACCGCCAUAUUUACAAUGUAUUAGAGUUGUGUCUUGUUUGAUAUGAAGGAAAGUAGUAAUAACCAGAAAUUGCUGUACAAAAAUUGCCCAAUUUCAAUUCCCCCCAUUGAUUUAAGCAAUAAAUGAUGUGAUUAUAUGCUGUAAUUUAAGAUUUUGAUGAGUCCUAAGUAAAUUAACUUAUGACAAGAUCACAUAUAU